This 899-nucleotide ribosomal RNA is filed under the name uncultured bacterium. Its description in RNAcentral is "bacterial SSU rRNA". It matches the Rfam family "Bacterial small subunit ribosomal RNA", at positions 33 to 915 of the family's 1533-position model. The record is from RNAcentral.
ACGCUGGCGGCGUGCCUAAUACAUGCAAGUAGAACGCUGAAGGAGGAGCUUGCUUCUCUGGAUGAGUCGCGAACGGGUGAGUAACGCGUAGGUAACCUGCCUGGUAGCGGGGGAUAACUAUUGGAAACGAUAGCUAAUACCGCAUAACAGUAGAUGUUGCAUGACAUUUGCUUAAAAGGUGCAAUUGCAUCACUACCAGAUGGACCUGCGUUGUAUUAGCUAGUUGGUGGGGUAACGGCUCACCAAGGCGACGAUACAUAGCCGACCUGAGAGGGUGAUCGGCCACACUGGGACUGAGACACGGCCCAGACUCCUACGGGAGGCAGCAGUAGGGAAUCUUCGGCAAUGGACGGAAGUCUGACCGAGCAACGCCGCGUGAGUGAAGAAGGUUUUCGGAUCGUAAAGCUCUGUUGUAAGAGAAGAACAGGUGUGAGAGUGGAAAGUUCACACUGUGACGGUAUCUUACCAGAAAGGGACGGCUAACUACGUGCCAGCAGCCGCGGUAAUACGUAGGUCCCGAGCGUUGUCCGGAUUUAUUGGGCGUAAAGCGAGCGCAGGCGGUUAGAUAAGUCUGAAGUUAAAGGCUGUGGCUUAACCAUAGUACGCUUUGGAAACUGUUUAACUUGAGUGCAAGAGGGGAGAGUGGAAUUCCAUGUGUAGCGGUGAAAUGCGUAGAUAUAUGGAGGAACACCGGUGGCGAAAGCGGCUCUCUGGCUUGUAACUGACGCUGAGGCUCGAAAGCGUGGGGAGCAAACAGGAUUAGAUACCCCUGGUAGUCCACGCCGUAAACGAUGAGUGCUAGGUGUUAGACCCUUUCCGGGGUUUAGUGCCGCAGCUAACGCAUUAAGCACUCCGCCUGGGGAGUACGACCGCAAGGUUGAAACUCAAAGGAAUUGACG